GUUCUAGACACAGGCAAUAAGGUAAGGUCAGAUCUCUGUGUCCUUGGAACUUAUUGCCAACUGUUUAUAGAAAGACUAAUAAUUUCUGAGUUGUACCUUGUAGUAACUAAACACAGACUUUUCCUGUGGGGUUGUGAGAAGGACAGAGACCUUCUACAUGAUUCUGUCUUCAAACUUCGUAUCAGCAUUUUUAUUCUUUUUAAAAAUGUGAUAGAUUCACCCAGUUCACUGAUUACCCACAAUACAUCUAUCUUUGUCUGACCUUUUGAAAUCUAAAACAUGCUAAUCCAUAUCUGUGAGUCACAGCAUCAUAUAGACAAGAGAAACACAUGAAAAACUCUCUUUGAAGCACAGUUAUUGUACAAUUUGAGUUAAAACUCUAGGAACUAAGUUAUGGGAAAUCAGGUCUUUCUGUGAGUGCUAAUGUGGAGAUCUAGUGAAGAAUCAGCAUACUUCUGGUUUUCCAUCAGUGUCCACAGUCUUCCAGAAUAACAUCACAGUUACCAAGAGAAAAUACAACCUAGAUACAUAUCACUAUGAAAACACAUAGUCAAAUCAAGAAUUUUAUUCCUCCUCUUUGAUAUUCUUUCCCACUUCAAAAACUUUGUCCAGUGGAUCGUUUUUGUAUUCCAAAGACAGAUUCCAGAGAGUCUGUACUUCUGAUUACAGUCUGUUUUCAUAUGAUCAAAGACAGGGAUAGAACUAGAGACAGCCAUCAUACCUGGAAACUGCAUGAUACUAGAAUGCACCAGAUCAACCACCCGAGCACCUUUGUUUGGAGUCCUUGGAAUUACGGCCCUUUGGGAAGGGCUCAAGAACUCUAGCUAAACUGAAAGAAGCUGGACACAGAAGGCAUCAUCCCAUUCAUAUGAAGUGUCCAGAACAGGUGAACCCAUAGAGAAAGAAAAGACUUGUGGUUUCUACAGGCUGCUAGGAGAGGGAAAUGGGGAAUGACUGCUUACUGAAUACAGGUGACGGGGUUUGGGGGUGAUUCAAAUGUCUGGAAUUACAUACUGAAAAUCCACUAGUACACUUAAAAUGUGUGUUUGUUUGUUUGACAUGGGGUGGUGCUGUGUUGCCCAGGCUGUCCUUGAGUUCCUGGGCCCAAGUGAUCCUCCUGCCUCAGCCCCCCAAGUAGCUGGGACCACUGUGCUUUCCACCAUACCCAGAGUGAGAUGAUAAACUUCAUGGUACAUGAAUGUCAUCUUAACUUUCUAAAAACCAUAUGCACGAAAAAGAACCACUAGCUAGAAAGAAUGCAGUUCUUCUGAGGAAGUCAUUUCUAUCGUCCUGCUGUUCCAGCCCCCAUUCUUUGGCAGCAAUUGCAUGUGAAGCAUGCUUGAUAUCAUGAUGGAAAGUCUGUUUCAAGCAGGAAUGAAGUUCUUGGGUACAAAAUAAUUUUGUUUCUUGCAAAUAACACCGAGGUUCCAGCUUCACAGAAGGAACCUCCUUUGGGCCAUUUUUUUCCCCAAUGUUGAGGGUGUGUUCUGAUGGUGCCCACAUCCAGCUUCUUUUUGCGGCUGUGAUCUAAAGGUUAAUCCCUUCCUUUGGUUGCAUUGUCCUAACAGGACCACUGGGGCUUGUUUUAGACACACUUUUCUUUGGUGAGGCUUUUCUAAAAUCUCUCUUAUCCUAGAUUAACAUCCUCUCAGGAGCAGGCCCCUCUGCUCAGCUAACUGAAAUAUUUUAUUUAUUCAUGAAGUCGUUUGUAGCAGUUAUCUUUUAAUCAAACAGUACCUUUGAAAUACCAUAGAAUUAAUCCUACUCAUGAUUUCUCCAUUUUACUUAAGUCAGA
This 1795-nucleotide long non-coding RNA is filed under the name Marmota monax (woodchuck). Lineage: Eukaryota; Metazoa; Chordata; Mammalia; Rodentia; Sciuridae. The record is from RNAcentral.